GUAGAAACAUUGCCAGAUCAAACUGGGCCUGGUGCAGCCUUCUGGCUUCCCAGACCCCAGUUGAACCGUCCAACCCAUGCUAGCAUGGAAAGCGGACGCUAAACUAUGAUGAUGAUGAUGAUGAUGCCAUCUGGUGAUAGCAGUAUACUUCCUGUCGACUUGGGCUAUUUCUUCAUUCUGUCAACUACAACAGACAGAUGGCUGCUAAAUGUGUUCACUGCUUAUCAUCACAUUCUUUCCAGUGAUUCUAAUUCACAAUGAAAUUUUACAAAAGACAUUAACGCUUACAUGUUCAUCAAAAGCUGUGAGCGCCAAUGUCCCAGUCAAGCUAUCAACUCAUUGGAAGAACUACCAAAGGCUACUGGAACUUGAGUGAAAUUCUCUGGAGGUAAACUAUUGAAAGUUAAAGUGUUAGUUUGAAGCUCUCGGCUAGAUUUGGUUAAAUCUAGUAUUGAGAUCUCCAAAUGCACAACAGUAAUUAAGACUAUAAGCACUAACGAGUAGAUGAUUAUUUGAAGAUUAGGCCUUUGGUUUUCGUUUUAAGGAGUGAUUAAAUCACAUGACUGGUAUCUUCAAUUUAUUGAAGGAUAAAAUAUUUAUUUCACACAAUAACAAGGCUAAUAAGGUGUUUAUUAGUUUAUUAUAAGGAAAUGACUUCCAUCCGCUGGCAAUUAGCUGUAUUGACUCCCUGUGCUAGUCUGGCCUUCUCCCAAAUGCAUUAUUGGCAGGAGUGGAACAGUUGUUACUAGUCAUUCAAUCCAAAUAGUAAUACUAACUUCUGCUUACCAACUACACUUCAGUACUUGCCUCCCUCUUGUGGUGGAUUCACCCGAUAUAGCCCAUCCUCAUCCAAAGGUGAUGAUGGGCAAAGUUACUCCCAGUGAAAUUUGAAGACCACCACAGUGAGAGAGUUAAAAGACGGCUCCAAUCUCCAUGCUGGACUCUGUGAUUCUAUCUUCGUUAAGAAGAAGUUAAUGAGCUGUUAAUGAUGGAAUGCAUAAUCAUUUGAGUGGGUAAAACCAAAACUGUCCUGUGAUGUAAGAUUAAUAAUUUAUUUCUGACAAGGUGUUAUUUUAAUAUAGAACAAACCCCUUACCAUAGACCCCCCCCACCCAUUGUUAUGUCUUCUGUUACCAUAGUGAUCUAUGUUAUUGUGCGGUUAGGGAUACACCCCACCCCCUCCAUCAGAUGUCACCUCUUGAAUGAAUGCUUAACGGCUGACUGGCAAAGGAUAAGGGUUUUCGCAGCCCCUUUAACCUGGUGUUAAGAGUUACGGUAUAGCUGCAAAAGGCCUGGUCUGUGACACCAUUUGCUUCAAUGAUCUGUUUCUGACGUCUCCGUCAUGGCUGGAUCGGUUCUAUGACGAAGUUCUCCGGUUUUCCCCAACCCCAGAAAAAUUAAUUUUUAUUUUCCUUUUUUUUCAUUCAUCUCCCUUUCCAUGCAUUUCUUUUCUAUUUGGUCAAAAAAAUAUUAAAUAAAAGCAAACACACACACACACACCAAAAAGAAUGUAAAUCAAAACAAGUGACUUCAUAAAAAACAAAAAUUCAUUUUCCCAACCAAAACAGCUGCAGAAUGACUGUUUCCAUAUUUGGCCAUCCAGAGUGAAUCCUUAUUUUUCAUCUCCCCCUCCCCCAAUCUCAUCUUUUGACAAAUCAUAUUCGAUUCUAUAAAACAAAAAAUACAGAAAGGGACAAAUGUUGAGAAACGAAACUCUGCUUCAUUCAACUUCAUUCAACUUCAUUCAACAUCGUUCAUAACAUUUAUCUUUCUUUUUCCCUUUUGUUUUGGUUCCAUGGCAACACAUGAAAAUCACAUUCUUUUAUUUUAUUUUUUUUUUUGUUGCAGAAAAAUUUAACUAUUAAAUUUUUAUUCUACUUUUUAAUCAUU
Molecule: long non-coding RNA, 1890 nt
Organism: Octopus sinensis (East Asian common octopus)
Lineage: Eukaryota; Metazoa; Mollusca; Cephalopoda; Octopoda; Octopodidae
Exons: 2
Source: RefSeq, a predicted model, not a curated record